This is a small nucleolar RNA of Patagioenas fasciata monilis, 141 nucleotides long. It matches the Rfam family "Small nucleolar RNA SNORA5". Rfam says of the family: ACA5 is a member of the H/ACA class of snoRNA that guide the sites of modification of uridines to pseudouridines. The record is from Rfam. Lineage: Eukaryota; Metazoa; Chordata; Aves; Columbiformes; Columbidae.
UGCAGCCCUGUCAAAUUCGGUCCCUACCCUUCUCCGUGGCAGGGACCGGCCAACCGGCUGCCACAGCGAAUUCUGCGGUCCACAUGCCCCACGUCCCCUCCCCGUGGGGCACCAGGGGGUCAGAUCACACCACAGACACAU